AAUGCAUUCACAUUUCUUCCAUUAAAAGGAUAAAAUCGAAACGAUGUCGUCAAACUCGCCGUGCGCCGCGUGCAAGUGCCUCCGGCGGAAGUGCACGCAGGAGUGCGUGUUCGCGCCGUACUUCCCGCCGGACAAUCCGCAGAAGUUCACCAACGUGCACAAGGUGUUCGGCGCCAGCAACGUCUCGAAGCUGCUCAACGAGCUGAGCGCCUCGCAGCGCGAGGACGCGGUCAAUUCGCUGGCGUACGAGGCCGAGCACCGCCUCCGCGACCCGAUCUAUGGCUGCGUCGGCUUCAUCUCCCUCCUCCAGCAGCGGCUCAGCCAGCUCCACGUCAAUCUGGAGAACGCCAAGAAGGAAUUGGCGUCCUACAUCGGCCCGUCCGGGAUGGCCCCAAUGCUGAGCCAUCCCGGAUUCGCCCAACAGCACGCCCUGCAGCCCUAUCAUCAGCUCAUCCCCCAAAAUGUGCCCGCGAUGAUGGGGAUGCAGCUCGUGCUGCGUGACCAACAACAACAACAACUCUUAAUCCUCGAGCAAGAUCAACAUCAACAACAACUAAUGAUACGAGAUCAGGCGCCACCACCACAACAACAACAACAACCACAUCUGGUGGCGCAGCAGCAGUAUCUGGAGGUGGCUCGGGAGCAAGAAAUGAUGCAACAUCAUAACCGGAGCAAUGAAUUUAUGAGAUUCAACAGCGAGGGGGGAGGAGGAGGGGCAGUGACCGCCACGGGAUUAAACCAGAUUAGCAGCGGUGGUGGGGCAAUGCAGCAGCCGUCGUUGACAUUGGGGAGCUCUUACGAAGCAAGCCACCAACAAUUUCAGCAUCCCGAGCAGGAGCACGAGUACGAGCAAGGGCAGCUGCAUCCGCUCCAUCUACUGCAGCUCCAGCAGCUGCAGGAGUACAUCGAGGCGCAGCAGGACAACGAGCGCCGGAUGCAGAAGGGAAAGGGGAAGACCGACCCUUGUAAUGGCCCUUCCUGUUAAUCAAUCUUCUAAUUCCCAAGCAUACAUUUUCACAUGCCCUCUCUCACCCUUAUUCCAGAAAAUUGGAUAGAGUAAUUAGCUAGCAAAAGGGGAGAGAGAUGAUACAUAGAUGAGGAGUAGAGCUAUAGACAAAUCGUGGAGGUAUUCGCAUGUACGUAAGUCACCAGUAUUUUUUCUACUAUUAGAUUUGAUGGAAUUUAACAGUUUGUAGUUGAGGAGUUGAUACAUUAGAAAAGUAGAAGUAGGAUUUAAUGCUAGUGUUUAAUUUCAGUUUACAUUUUCAAAGGGGUUACUUGUUUUUGCCGCAAU
RNA transcript from Salvia splendens (bonfire salvia), 1294 nucleotides. It is a transcript of the gene named LOB domain-containing protein 36, with no coding region annotated. Lineage: Eukaryota; Viridiplantae; Streptophyta; Magnoliopsida; Lamiales; Lamiaceae. The record is from RefSeq and is a predicted model, not a curated record. The transcript is spliced from 3 exons.